AAGAAGACGAGAGGCAACAGGGUGGUGAGAGGAGGCAGGUGUUAGUGUGUGACCAAUAGCUGAUAUUGGCCUUUUCUGUAUCCACCCCUGAUGGAUGCAAUAACCCCUUGAUGUAUUAUGUAUGAAAGUUGAGAUUUAAAAAAAAAAAAAAAAAGAGCCAGUGCCAUAGCCAGAAUUUUUGAAAUACUGAGGUCAUGAGUCCUACAUGCAGCUUUUUUGUUAAAAAAAACCCCCAGUAGCCUUUGGUUAUAUUUACUAUUUCAUCUUUUCCAUGUAAUAAAAAGUGACAAUGUCUUUUUGUGUAAAUGUUACAAAAAAUGCAAGCACUGAAGCUUAGAAAGCGGGUCCUUGGUGAUGCUGAUCGAUAUUUUGUCAUAAUCACAACAUGUCACAAUAUUGAUCAUAUAUUCUCUGCUCCCCUGCUUUACUCCUACUCACAAGUAUACCUGAAAAAGUGAAGAUGUGAAAAAGACAACUGCAUGCAUUCUUUCAAAGACAACACAGCUAGACAUCAUACUCAUGAGAUCAAGACACAAUAGUGUAAAAUCCUUCUUAGUCUGGUUUUCUGGCUCUAAAUCCAGUUAGAGGCAGACCACUAGGACUGAUCUCUGUGCUGUAAACUGUCCUUUUCGAUGUUAAUAUGAAUGAGUCCAAGUGCCUUUUUGACACUCAUUCUCUCCUCUAAUACUGUAUAUAUGAAUUUAGGGCUAGGUUAAUAUUGGUUUGUCAUUUUGUUGCUCUCCGAUAUGAUUCAUUCUUUUCAUUGUCAUGCUCGUGUUUCAGUGGAGAGUUGAAGUGUUCCGUGAUGGUCCAAAUUCUGCUUUUCUACCCUGACUGGAAUACAAUCCUGUGUGAAAUGUUGAAUAUGUAUUUUAAUGGUCAAAUUUUGAAAUAAACCCCAAAAAUUAUCAACCUUAUUAUCAAAGAUGGGCCAGUUAAACCAAAAAAUUACCCAGAAUCAGAUGCAUUAAGCUUUUUUGUACUCCAUGGUGCACAGCAUAAAAGUGAGUUAUGAGCUCCACACAGACCUCAGAAUGGAAAAGCUGAUGUUUGAUAUGUUUUUUAGCCACCAGCUUCAUCAUAGCUGCAACAACUUUUAAUCCUGGGAAGUAGGGGUGAGCUUUUUACAGUGAGGGCAGAGCGACAGAGACGAGAUAAAAGAUUAGAACAUUGGAUGCGACUGGUAAAUGGCAUCAAUCUCUUCAAGUGCACCAUGGUGUUGCCCUUGUGUUUGGGCUGUUGCACAUGCGACAGUGUCCUGGCAUUAUUUUUCUACUGUCAAAAUGAUUUUACGUUGCGAUUAAGGCUGAACCCUAAUUUUCUUUGUGUGUCAAAUGUACCUUUCUGUCUUUAACCAAUUAACAGCCACCAUGCUGUACAUACAGAAUACACAGGCUUUAUAAAAGAAAGACUGACCUGUGAAAUCAGUGACUGUCUGGAAACAAAGUGGGAUUUCAUGAAUGUGAGGUGUAUAACAUGCAGAGGGGAAUGGCGCAGCAGACAUUCGUGCUUGUCAGGUUAUAAACUGGAGCCGGCGAGGUGUUGCGAGGUCCACAGAGACAGCGGAGAGAGAAAAGGAGGGGAGAGCCCCAGACAGCAAACCCAGUAGCAAAUGGCCCUGCUAGAGGAUGAGCGAGAGGAGGGGGGGGUGGUGGAGUUGGUGAGGAGGAGGUGAGGUGUUGGGUGAAGGGGAGGUGAGGAGGGAGAGAGAGUGAGUUAUUUAUAGCUGUGAAUGGGUAUGCUGUCCACUAGGACUGCUCUGAAGGGUAUCCAAAGGAAAAGGGGCAACGAAGACAGGGUUCUCUCAUUUGAAUAAAAGGAUGGAGAUGGAGUUGGGGGAAAUUAUAAUGCAAGGCAGAAAAUGGGAGGCGAAGGCACAAUUGUUAUGCUCUUUUAGAGGAGCGGGGGAGGGGGUUAAUGCUGAACGCCAAGUCAACAUUUUCUUCAUUUGUGAGAUAGUUUUUGUGUUUCUCUUUCCCCAGUAUCUUUGCAAAAGAGACUCUGGAAUCAGAUAUUCACUGCACAUCAACGAGAAGAAAAAAAAGUAGUUGCAGCAGGAAGCAUUGUAAAGGAAAUGGCCAGGAGUAGAUUCAAUAAGUCAAGAGGGAGGAGCUAGAGAUAGAAUUAGGGGGGAAUCAAUGUGCAUCUCGCUGUGUGUGUGUGUGUGUGUUUCUCACUUGCCAUUCCAGCUGCUCUCUCAUUCUAUUUAUAGCUCUGGAGGAGAUCGUGUGUGUGUGUGUGUGUGUGUGUGUGUGUGUGUGUGUGUGUGUGUGUGUGUGUGAAAGUGGGGGUAGGGAUGUGACAGCAUCUCCAUCCUGCACCCAUAACACACACGCACACACACCCUUCCCCACUCUGUCAGCCUCACCUUCACUCCUCAUCCCGGGGAAGCUAAACCAGUGUGACCUAGCAUCAACGUCACAGCCGACACACACACACACACACACACACACACCCACACACACACACAGAAGCGAGGGGCAUUCCCUCCCACUACAAAAGAAGAAGCCUAUAUCCCCCACUCUAUAACUGCUGCUAAUGAAUAUGGAUGAUCCCUCCUCUCUGGGUGUUUUUUUAUGAUGGUGUAUUUUACACUGUUGUAUUAAUGCACUGGAGAAAACAGCAGUGUCUAACUCGCUGCUGCAAACCCUUCCACACCUCUGAGUAAAGCAGCAGCCUGCAACUAUCAAAGCUUACCCCUUGUUUAUUGCAGUAGCUCCUAAAAACACAGAAAGAUCUGAAUACCACAUGAUAUUUUAUAUCCUAAAAACCCAUAUUAGUGCACUUUGAGUUUGAUUUCAAAUAACGUUUAGUAUUAACCGUCAUCCUUUGAUGCUUUAUACUUUCCCAUCCUGCCUGAGGAGCUUUUCCAUGGCGCUCCAAGUAUCCAGGUCACAUAUCACCUACUUUAGCAUUAUCCUUAAAACUGAGGAUCCAGGCCACCUCCACAAUACAGGCCUGCCCUAACUCUGAGCAGCAGAGAGCAGAUAGAAUAUUCAACCUGAGUUCCUCCAAAUCUUGUUUUUAAAAGCUUUUUUGCAAUAUUCAGUAUCUUUAAAUUUAGCUUAUUUGUGCCAAAAGAGUGCAAAAACUUUGUUACUGUUUCCCUCCAGAGUAUGAUCCUGGCUAGGUGGGAAGGCCUGUGAAACCGCCAUGACCGUGAGAAACUAAAACACUGUAAUCCAGGAUCUUAAUACUCAGCUCAUCAGUGAACAUCUUGCCAGUACACAGAGAUGAAUCCUGUGCGUUGUCGGUGGUUGAUGUCCCUGCAGCAGAGCGCUAGACUAUGAGGGAUUUCAUGCGGUCAUGUCACGAUUUCACACCAGACCAGCAGACAAUGUCCAGCUUACCGUAGUAGCGGCUCGCCCUCCAGGCCCUGACGGCACAGUGUAGGACUCCAUCCAGCCACAGCAGCAGCCAGCUGAUGCAGAAGCCCAGCAGCAGCCCCAGCAUCAAGUCCAUCUCCUGCUUGGUCACACUGUCACUCACAAAGUAGUUCUCUGAUGAGUCCACCAAGGAAUGGUCCCCAUCAUAUGGGAUUACAUAGUGGACAUGAUGCC
This is a long non-coding RNA of Siniperca chuatsi (mandarin fish), 3560 nucleotides long. RefSeq lists it as uncharacterized. The transcript is spliced from 2 exons. The record is from RefSeq and is a predicted model, not a curated record. Lineage: Eukaryota; Metazoa; Chordata; Actinopteri; Centrarchiformes; Sinipercidae.